This is a non-coding RNA of Acanthosepion pharaonis, 98 nucleotides long. NCBI's taxonomy places the organism in Eukaryota, Metazoa, Mollusca, Cephalopoda, Sepiida, Sepiidae. The record is from the annotation of a GenBank genome assembly.
UGGCCAUAUCAGGUUGAAACACCAGUUCUCACAAGAUCACCAAAAUAAAGCAACGUCAAGCCUGGUCAGUACCUAGAUGGGUGACCGCUUGGGAAUCC